UUCAAAUGUCGUGAAAGCCGCACUUGACGCCCCGGCCAAGUUCUCGUCAGGCUAGUCCUAAAACAAAAGGAACGUGAGUCAUCACUAACAGUUUCGCAAAGACAGAACUACAGUAUAACGUACACUCGCGAGUCGGAACCUGGACGAUACGUGCGGGUUGGCUGUUUUACGUGAGCAGAAGUCAAGAGGUACCUGUUCAGAGUGGUGUAGAACAGUUUUACUUUUACAUAGGGACACGCAACAGAUAGGUUCAGAGGGAGAAAUUUGGACUGGAGGACUCGCUCUUCACAGUGUUGAGGAAAUGAGAAAUCUUCAUGAUGUGAAUGGAAAACCAGAAAAUUCAUGUGGACAUAAGAGGAACGAACAAGCAAGCUUCACACAGUGACCAUUUCAUUAACAAUCCUUUGAUACAUGUUAUUCUCUCUUCUUUCCCAAAAGCUAAUAUAAGGAGAUAUUAAUCUUUCUUUCCAUUCAGAACCAGAUUGUAUUUCCUCCUCACCAGUCAGUGUAUUUCUUUCUUAACAGUGUGACAAAAUUAGAGUUUACCUGACUCUUUAAAACUCAUUCACAAAUGGAAAAAUUAAUUUUCUAUAGUCAAAUUAAUGAUUUGAAAUUUAAUAUGAGGUACCACCAACAGGUAAUUAAAAUACACUGAAACCUUAUUGCAGAAAAAUAGGUAGUAAAAGUAUAAUUCACAUAAAAAAGUACAGACUUUUAGAUUCAGCUUUGUUAAUACUAUUAACAAAAUAAAUAAAUUAUCCAAACAAUGAAAUUUCCUUUACCCAUAAUGGUAUUUUUAAAAGUACAGAUAACAGCUACACAAACUGUCAUCAAGUGGAGGUCACAAAGUUCAGAUACUUCAUCAGUGAAGAAACGGCAUUGUUUUAUUUGGUUCUCUUCAGGACUCAACCACCUGUAUUUUGUAACAUCUUUACUCUUUAUGCAGAAAUUGUGUUGAAAGUAGCAUCCAUGCAAGAGUCAAUAAAGGUAAUGCAGAUAACUGCAGCUUCUGGGAUAAAGAGAUAGGGGGCACUCUGUGGAAAUUUUUAAUGGUGGAUUCUGUUGCUAUGUUUGCAGCUGAAACUUUGUAUGCUGGCAUACUCUUGCAUAAGACUGGAAAAUAUACUGUAUCUGGAUGGAAUUAUCAAUUGAGGUUGGAGAUCCUUAAUAUCAAAGUGCCCCAAAAUAAGCUGUUUUUCUUUUGAAUUGGCAAAGUUAAACAAUAAAUCCAGACAUUGAUGUCACAAAUGAAAUGAGCUUCUCCAUGAUCAAGGUGCAACCAAGAGUGAUCUUUAUUUUUUGAAUGGGUAUAUCAAACACUUAUGCCCAUAUUAAUGAAUGUGUGACAUUGGUACGCACGUCAGAAGUACUUGAGAAGCUGCAUUUUAGUGCAUUCAUGAAUGAAAUUGCACAACAUCAUUUAUUAGGAGAUACACAUGUGGUUUCUGUGAGUGGAAAACUGAGGUGAUAAAUGGAUGACAGAAAUCACACAUCACAAAUGGCAGACACAUUUUGUGUUUUUGUAAAACUCAAUACAGAUGAAGUACAUGGCAAUGCAAGCAUUUCAUAGACAUUUGUAUGUGUGAUACAAAGACUUUAAAAAUGGGAGACCAACUUGUCGAGCAAAUAAUCACUUGAGUGCAGGAGGAAGUCAUGCAAGGUUGUAGGCAAAGCAAUUACAGUGUUUUACAUAGAAUUUUAUUCUGAUCCAUUGUUUGAAGUUCAUGAUCUACAUGAUAGCUGUGCUUUCUUUCAUUGUAUGAGAUUUGUUCACUUUGUGGUAUACCAGCAGGCACUGCUCAUGUUCUUUUAUAAACCAUUGUGUUAUUCUAGA
Molecule: long non-coding RNA, 1834 nt
Organism: Polypterus senegalus (gray bichir)
Lineage: Eukaryota; Metazoa; Chordata; Cladistia; Polypteriformes; Polypteridae
Exons: 3
Source: RefSeq, a predicted model, not a curated record